CAAUAGCGUAUAUUAAAGUUGUUGCAGUUAAAAAGCUCGUAGUUGGAUUUCUGGUUGAAGCGACCGGUCGGGCGUUGAUUCGUCUGCACUGGAGUCGGUUUUGGCCCUCCUCUAGGAAAGUGCGUCUGGUAUUAAGUUAUCGGGCGUAUGAUCCUGGUCUUUUACUGUGAAAAAAUUAGAGUGUUUAAAGCAGGCCUUCGCCUUGAAUACAUUAGCAUGGAAUAAUAAGAUAGGACUUUGGUCUAUUUUGUUGGUUUGCAGACCGAAGUAAUGAUUAAUAGGGAUAGUUGGGGGUAUUUAUAUUCCGAUGUCAGAGGUGAAAUUCUUAGAUUUUCGGAAGAUAAACUUAUGCGAAAGCAUUUACCAAGGAUGUUUUCAUUA
This 381-nucleotide ribosomal RNA is filed under the name uncultured eukaryote. RNAcentral's name for it is "partial 18S ribosomal RNA". It matches the Rfam family "Eukaryotic small subunit ribosomal RNA", at positions 592 to 975 of the family's 1831-position model. The record is from RNAcentral.